CUUGGGAGAUGUUUUUUAAAGAAAAUGGAACCCCUUUUUCUUUUAAAUAUUCAAAAAUUGAAUAUAGUUCUAGGUAAAAUAUUGAUAAUGACAAAAUUUUAUCUACAUGUCUUGACCAAAUCUUGUGCCAGCAGUCGCGGCAACACAAGGAAGACUAGUGUUAUUCAUCUUAAAUCGGUUUAACGGGUACCUAGACGGUAAAUUAGGCCUUAAUCGGAACAUUUUUACUAGAGUUAUAUAUGCGUGAGGAUGAUAUGUCAGUAUUACCAGAGUAGAGAUAGAAUUUUUUGAUACUGUUAAGACUGGUAAAGGCAAAAGCAAACCUUUAUAUAUUAACUGACGUUGAGGGACGAAGGCUUGGGUAGCAAACAGGAUUAGAUACCCUAAUAGUCCAGGCAGAGAAUUAUGAAUGUCAUAGAUUACAUGGAUUAUAUUAAGAUUAUAACCCACUUAGUAU
RNAcentral lists this ribosomal RNA (457 nucleotides) under Nigrovothelium bullatum. RNAcentral's name for it is "mitochondrial SSU rRNA". It matches the Rfam family "Bacterial small subunit ribosomal RNA", at positions 400 to 883 of the family's 1533-position model. Lineage: Eukaryota; Fungi; Ascomycota; Dothideomycetes; Trypetheliales; Trypetheliaceae. The record is from RNAcentral.